CCUACGGGUGGCAGCAGUCGAGAAUCAUUCACAAUGGGGGAAACCCUGAUGGUGCGACGCCGCGUGGGGGAAUGAAGGUCUGCGGAUUGUAAACCCCUGUCAUGUGGGAGCAAAUUAAAAAGAUAGUACCACAAGAGGAAGAGACGGCUAACUCUGUGCCAGCAGCCGCGGUAAUACAGAGGUCUCAAGCGUUGUUCGGCAUCACUGGGCGUAAAGCGUGCGUAGGCUGUUUUGUAAGUCGUGUGUGAAAGGCGCGGGCUCAACCCGCGGACGGCACAUGAUACUGGGAGACUAGAGUAAUGGAGGGGGAAGCGGAAUUCUCGGUGUAGCAGUGAAAUGCGUAGAUAUCGAGAGGAACACUCGUGGCGAAGGCGGGUUGCUGGACAUUAACUGACGCUGAGGCACGAAGGCCAGGGGAGCGAAAGGGAUUAGAUACCCUAGUAGUC
This 446-nucleotide ribosomal RNA is filed under the name uncultured bacterium. Its description in RNAcentral is "partial 16S ribosomal RNA". It matches the Rfam family "Bacterial small subunit ribosomal RNA", at positions 338 to 795 of the family's 1533-position model. The record is from RNAcentral.